CGCACCUUGCGCUCCUUGGUAUUCCGAGGAGCAUGCCUGUUUGAGUGUCAUGUUAAUUCUCAAACCUUGUGUUUGGUGUUGGAGGCUCUGCUUGUUAAACAAAGCUCCUCUGAAAUGCAUUGGCUAACUUUGAGUUGGAUUAAACAGUGUUGUAAUCUACUGCGCUGUCGACUAGCUUCAAGUGGCUGAGUUAACAUUUACUUUUGUAAUCUGGCCUCAAAUCAGGUAGGACUACCCGCUGAACUUAA
This 248-nucleotide unclassified non-coding RNA is filed under the name Ceriporiopsis carnegieae. RNAcentral describes it as "partial contains 5.8S ribosomal RNA, internal transcribed spacer 2, and large subunit ribosomal RNA". Lineage: Eukaryota; Fungi; Basidiomycota; Agaricomycetes; Polyporales; Meruliaceae. The record is from RNAcentral.